UCAUGAUUACUUGCGAGAGAGUCGUCUUCUCAUCUGCAAUUCUCGUCUUCUUCAUGUUCACUGGAGUUGGGUAACUUGAUCGGGUCUCUCCUCAAUCCAAAUCUUAAUUCAUCCUCCAGAGUGGUUAUCCAUCAGAGACCACUUGUUUGUCUUCUGCCGUUUCAAGAACCCUAAGACAAACAAUUGGACGAGUUCGGCUUCGAAUCCCAUCGGCAAAUUCCCAGAAGAGUAGCUUUUAUGUGGUGCGCGCUUAAUCUCUGAAUAUGUCUCAGCAGACAAAAUCAACAUGGAGCAUCAAUAAUCUAUCUCAAAGAAAAAAUCACUACUUUGUUGUUGCAGUUCCUUCUCCCAACGCUCUUCAUCCUUGCCUCGUAGAGAAGACCCGAGGAUUUUAAGUGUCAGAGGAAGGAAACCCGAUAUAUGGACAGCGCGAAGGGAUAGUGAUUCAAAACUAGUGGGAGGGUGUUGCUGGUCAAAAGCAGAGUGAGAAAAUAGUUGAAGAGCUUCGUCGUAUCUCAGAGACUGAACUUCAUAAGCAUGCUCCACACCAGACUCAACUAACAGGUUCCUGUCCUGUGUAACAAAGAUCACUCUACUUCCUGGAAUAAACCAGUGAGCAAGAUCCCGGUCUUGGUGACAAAUCUUUUCAGCCUUGUCUACAAACACAUGAACUUUGAAGUUGCUAGAUAUUUCUUCAUAAGCGUACCUCGCUAGCGUCGUCUUGCCAAUGCCUCCUGGACCCCAAAUUCCUAUCAAACGAACUUCUUCAGCAGCUUUGAAAUCCAGCAAUUUGUAGAGUGUUUGCAUCUGACGAUCCAUACCAACCAGUCCAUCACCUUUGGCUGUUAAUGGCUUUCUAUUCGAGAUACUCAAGAUUUCAUUUGCAAUUAACUCAAUCAUGUCCGCUUCGUUGCUCCUAUGAUAAAAUCAAAAACAUAAAGGGAAAAGAAUCAUGAAUCCGAGUGAAAAAACCCUUGAAUAUUCUUACGUACAGAUUAAGCUUGUGUUUUACCAAUAUCGUGAAUCCAGGGCAGGUAUGUUGGUGAGUUUAGUGAGAGAAACCCUCCAUUCUUGAAUCUUGUCAUCUGGAUAUCCUUCACCAAGCUC
RNAcentral lists this long non-coding RNA (1107 nucleotides) under Arabidopsis thaliana (thale cress). RNAcentral describes it as "potential natural antisense gene, locus overlaps with AT1G72850 (AT1G72852)". The record is from RNAcentral. Lineage: Eukaryota; Viridiplantae; Streptophyta; Magnoliopsida; Brassicales; Brassicaceae.